Molecule: transfer RNA, 71 nt
Filed under: Camelus bactrianus (Bactrian camel)
Lineage: Eukaryota; Metazoa; Chordata; Mammalia; Artiodactyla; Camelidae
Also listed under: 2 other names
Rfam family: tRNA
About the family: Transfer RNA (tRNA) molecules are approximately 80 nucleotides in length. Their secondary structure includes four short double-helical elements and three loops (D, anti-codon, and T loops). Further hydrogen bonds mediate the characteristic L-shaped molecular structure. tRNAs have two regions of fundamental functional importance: the anti-codon, which is responsible for specific mRNA codon recognition, and the 3' end, to which the tRNAs corresponding amino acid is attached (by aminoacyl-tRNA synthetases). tRNAs cope with the degeneracy of the genetic code in two manners: having more than one tRNA (with a specific anti-codon) for a particular amino acid; and 'wobble' base-pairing, i.e. permitting non-standard base-pairing at the 3rd anti-codon position.
Source: Rfam by way of RNAcentral
GAGGGUAUAGCUCAGCGGUAGAGUGCAUGCUUAGCAUGCAAACAUCCUGGGUUCAAUCCCCAGUACCUCCA